Molecule: long non-coding RNA, 387 nt
Filed under: Monodelphis domestica (gray short-tailed opossum)
Lineage: Eukaryota; Metazoa; Chordata; Mammalia; Didelphimorphia; Didelphidae
Description: lncRNA (ENSMODG00000032875.2)
Source: RNAcentral
UGAGUACCUGGAGUACAGAAAGAAUCGAACUGGAAUACAGCCUGAGCCUGUCCAGAAGAUUGGAGUUCAUUUAAAUCAGCUGAGGUGUGGCAGUUGGGUCUUGUGACUAGCACUUCCUGCCUGCCUGGGGGGUCUUGCUUCCUGGUGUUGGAGGAGAGAGGAACUUGGUCAGCCCAGUCUGGAGUGGCAUGCUCUUCUUGGUUCAACCUGAAGACACAGGCUUCUGAAGGGCUAACUUGACAAGAUACCUUUCAGCUCUUACUUGAAAACCUCUGAGGUUUAAGGUGAGGAGAAAACCCCUACAUCUUGAGUUAAUCCAUGCUACUUUUGGAUAAUGUCUCAUUCUGCCUCUUUGUGUCUUCUAGAUGACUGUAAACUAGAUUAUGG